Molecule: transfer RNA, 71 nt
Filed under: Bos taurus (domestic cattle)
Lineage: Eukaryota; Metazoa; Chordata; Mammalia; Artiodactyla; Bovidae
Also listed under: 2 other names
Rfam family: tRNA
About the family: Transfer RNA (tRNA) molecules are approximately 80 nucleotides in length. Their secondary structure includes four short double-helical elements and three loops (D, anti-codon, and T loops).
Source: Rfam by way of RNAcentral
UCCUGGUGGCUCAGAUGGUAAAGCAUCUGCCUACAACGUGGAAGACCCAGGUUCCAUCCCUGGGUCAGGAA